This 253-nucleotide ribosomal RNA is filed under the name uncultured prokaryote. RNAcentral's name for it is "partial 16S ribosomal RNA". It matches the Rfam family "Bacterial small subunit ribosomal RNA", at positions 524 to 776 of the family's 1533-position model. The record is from RNAcentral.
UACGAGUACCCCGAGCGUUAUCCGGAAUUAUUGGGCGUAAAGGGUGUGUAGGUGGUUGUAUUAGUCUCUCGUCAAAUCCCGGAGCCCAACUUCGGAGCUGCGAGAGAAACGGUAUAACUAGAGGAUGCGAGAGGUGUACGGAACUAUAUGUGUAGGGGUGAAAUCCGUUGAUAUAUAUGGGAACACCAAAAGCGAAGGCAGUACACUGGCGCAUUCCUGACACUGAAACACGAAAGCGUAGGUAGCGAAUGGG